UGGGGGGGUUGGGGUGCUCCUGACCCCCUCUCUUUGUCUCCCCCCCCACCUCCAGGCUGUGCACGGGGCCCUGUGCCCCCAUCCGGGAGUACAUCAUGGGCCACGUGCGGCACCCGCGGAAUGUGAAGAAGAUCAAAGGGAACCUGCUGUGGUACCAGCACCUCAAGGAGAUUCAGGU
Molecule: long non-coding RNA, 178 nt
Organism: Pezoporus occidentalis (night parrot)
Lineage: Eukaryota; Metazoa; Chordata; Aves; Psittaciformes; Psittacidae
Exons: 3
Source: RefSeq, a predicted model, not a curated record